RNAcentral lists this unclassified non-coding RNA (240 nucleotides) under uncultured fungus. Its description in RNAcentral is "sequence contains ITS1, 5.8S rRNA gene". The stretch from base 192 to 240 matches the Rfam family "5.8S ribosomal RNA", at positions 1 to 49 of the family's 154-position model. The record is from RNAcentral. Lineage: Eukaryota; Fungi.
UCUCCGUUGGUGAACCAGCGGAGGGAUCAUUACUGAGUGAACAGCUCUAAAACCCCUGUGAACAUACCUACCGUUGCUUCGGCGGGAACGCCCCGGCCGCCCCUGGGCGCCGGAACCAGGCCCCCGCCGCAAGACCCCCAAUUCUGUCUUUAAGGUUCCAUUCUGAGUGGCGUAACGCUAAAAUAAAUCAAAACUUUCAACAACGGAUCUCUUGGCUCUGGCAUCGAUGAAGAACGCAGC